GCGGAGCAUGCGGAUUAAUUCGAUGCAACGCGAAGAACCUUACCAAGGCUUGACAUAUACAGGAAAAGCGUAGAAAUACGCUCCCCGCAAGGUCUGUAUACAGGUGGUGCAUGGUUGUCGUCAGCUCGUGUCGUGAGAUGUUGGGUUAAGUCCCGCAACGAGCGCAACCCUCGUCCUAUGUUGCCAGCACGUAAUGGUGGGAACUCAUGGGAGACUGCCGGGGUCAACUCGGAGGAAGGUGGGGAUGACGUCAAAUCAUCAUGCCCCUUAUGUCUUGGGCUUCACGCAUGCUACAAUGGCCAGUACAAAGGGCUGCGAUACCGUAAGGUGGAGCGAAUCCCAUAAAGCUGGUCUCAGUUCGGAUUGAGGUCUGCAACUCGACCUCAUGAAGUCAGAGUCGCUAGUAAUCGUAGAUCAGCAACGCUACGGUGAAUACGUUCCCGGGCCUUGUACACACCGCCCGUCAAGUCACGAAAGUCGGUAACACCCGAAGCCGGUGGCCUAACCGUAAGGAAGGAGCCGUCGAAG
RNAcentral lists this ribosomal RNA (528 nucleotides) under uncultured Actinomycetes bacterium. RNAcentral's name for it is "bacterial SSU rRNA". It matches the Rfam family "Bacterial small subunit ribosomal RNA", at positions 932 to 1461 of the family's 1533-position model. Lineage: Bacteria; Bacillati; Actinomycetota; Actinomycetes. The record is from RNAcentral.